AGUGAACGCUGGCGGUAGGCCUAACACAUGCAAGUCGAACGGCAGCACAGUAAGAGCUUGCUCUUACGGGUGGCGAGUGGCGGACGGGUGAGGAAUACAUCGGAAUCUACUUUUUCGUGGGGGAUAACGUAGGGAAACUUACGCUAAUACCGCAUACGGCCUACGGGUGAAAGCAGGGGAUCUUCGGACCUUGCGCGAUUGAAUGAGCCGAUGUCGGAUUAGCUAGUUGGCGGGGUAAAGGCCCACCAAGGCGACGAUCCGUAGCUGGUCUGAGAGGAUGAUCAGCCACACUGGAACUGAGACACGGUCCAGACUCCUACGGGAGGCAGCAGUGGGGAAUAUUGGACAAUGGGCGCAAGCCUGAUCCAGCCAUACCGCGUGGGUGAAGAAGGCCUUCGGGUUGUAAAGCCCUUUUGUUGGGAAAGAAAAGCAGCAGGUUAAUACCCCGCUGUUCUGACGGUACCCAAAGCAUAAGCACCGGCUAACUUCGUG
This 492-nucleotide ribosomal RNA is filed under the name uncultured bacterium. Its description in RNAcentral is "partial 16S ribosomal RNA". It matches the Rfam family "Bacterial small subunit ribosomal RNA", at positions 29 to 507 of the family's 1533-position model. The record is from RNAcentral.